CCUACGGGUGGCAGCAGUCGGGAAUAUUGCGCAAUGGAGGAAACUCUGACGCAGUGACGCCGCGUGCGGGAAGAAGGUCUUCGGAUCGUAAACUGCUGUCGACAGGGAAGAAACAAGACAGUACCUGUAAAAUAAGCUCCGGCUAACUACGCGCCAGCAGCAGCGGUAAUACGUGGGGAGCAAGCGUUAUCCGGAUUUAUUGGGUGUAAAGGGUGCGUAGACGGGAAGUCAAGUUGGUUGUGAAAUCCCUCGGCUUAACGGAGGAACUGCAACCAAAACUAACUUUCUGGAGUGCUGGAGAGGAGAGUGGAAUUCCUAGUGUAGCGGUGAAAUGCGUAGAUAUUAGGAGGAACACCAGUGGCGAAGGCGACUUUCUGGACAGUAACUGACGUUGAGGCGCGAAAGUGUGGGGAGCAAACAGGAUUAGAUACCCCGGUAGUC
RNAcentral lists this ribosomal RNA (441 nucleotides) under uncultured bacterium. RNAcentral describes it as "partial 16S ribosomal RNA". It matches the Rfam family "Bacterial small subunit ribosomal RNA", at positions 338 to 795 of the family's 1533-position model. The record is from RNAcentral.